AGUAACCGAUUACCUUUCUCAGAUGGUGGGGAAUUGUUUACAGUCCCUUCCUUAGAGUUGGGAUCUACAAUUAAACAGCCAUUGCACUUCAUAUGUCCUCAGGGGACCCUAGACCAGUUGCAUAGCACAGUGCCCUUAGGGCACCACUGAGAGCAGGUAAAGGCUAGAAGGACCUCCAACCAGUUUGUUUCUGCUGAACUAGCUGCAGUGUGACCUUAGCAACAGAGAGAAGUGUGUCAGUAAUGAGUCAGUAAUGUAAUGUGAGAGAUAUAAACAACAAAGGGUUCCCUAGUCUCAUGCUGUGUCUGAAAGACAGCUGGGAGCCUUUGGUAAGUUCACUUGAACCAUCUACCACAGCUUGAAUAUGGGGAUAAUGGUAUUUGCUAUAGAAGACUACAGAACCAGCAAGGGUGAUAUGCUAAGGGAGCUAAGAGUAUGUUUUCCCUAUGAGCACUGCCUGUGUUAGUAUGAAAUUCAUGGUGGGAGACUGGCUAUACAAGUGCAUGGCUGUCCUCCUCUCUCCCCCUUCAUGAAUGCUAUCACUAGUCAAAAGAGGCCUUGAAAUGUAUAGGUUCUGUUUAGGUUGUUUAGGUACACAAAAGUCUCAGGAGCAUGCAUGUCUCCAGGUGUCAAAGUCCUUAAUUCACUGGUACUUUGAAAGAUUUUCUUAGUUAUGUCAACAAUGCGCAAUGCCCAGCAGAAGAUGAGAAGCUCUGCCACUUCAGAGAGGUUGACAGCAACAUAUAGGUCUCAUGUUGAAAUGACUAAUCCUGCUCUCCCAUUUCCAGAUUGUGAGGCUGACCCACGAGUUGUCAUGGCAGUGAGUCAGGAGUUAUGAUUCACGGUGAAACAGAUGCAAGGUGGAACACUCAAGGGACAGCACAUCUUCUCUGCUGGAAAAUGGAGAAAAAGGCUAGCCACCUCCUAUUUACACUGAACUUUGUCCAGAUAAAUUGAUUAAUCAUUUAAUCACAACUAAUGCAAGCAGUAAUCUUAAAAAUGACAGCUUAUCCUUCUGCAUCAUGUCAUGAACCUUUAAGCCAAGCACAGCUUUUAAGACUGGAUGACCCAAAUAUUCUUAAAUGUCUCUAAAGCAGCCAUUGAAAGAUGUAAACAAUAAUGAUAAAGAACUAGAUUCCUGUUUAGGGUUGUUAGAUUCCUACAAAACAUUAAUUAAAUUCAAGUGAGAAAACA
This is a long non-coding RNA of Pezoporus occidentalis (night parrot), 1194 nucleotides long. RefSeq lists it as uncharacterized. NCBI's taxonomy places the organism in Eukaryota, Metazoa, Chordata, Aves, Psittaciformes, Psittacidae. The transcript has 2 exons. The record is from RefSeq and is a predicted model, not a curated record.